CUGUAACAUCCACACAGAAAACUCAAAGGAACUGACCAAAAUAGAUGCUGAGUAUCAAAACAAAGACUGAAAUGUAAAGAGUCUUAAAAGAGAUGACCAAACUAAAGUCUGCAGAAGAUGAUGGUUCAAUGAAACAAAUUUCCAUCCUUGUAAUACAGACGAGUCCUUAGGGCACUGUAAAUUGUAAUGAAGAGGAUAUUUUUACAGGAGUAUCAGCACAACCAUCAUAAAUCACAAAUAAUGAUUAUUUGUUUUGACAAUAAAUCACAUAUAAUAAAUUAAAAAAAACAAAAUAAAAUAUAAACUAAACAGUAAAAGAAGGGCAAAGAGUUGUUCCAGAAGUCAUCUCUCCAGAAAGUGAACCUGUACACUAUGAAGAUAAUGUAACCAAGUUGUCGAAAAUUCUUCAUCUUGGGAAGAGAAAUG
Molecule: long non-coding RNA, 426 nt
Filed under: Trifolium pratense (red clover)
Lineage: Eukaryota; Viridiplantae; Streptophyta; Magnoliopsida; Fabales; Fabaceae
Description: long non-coding RNA (TPRA_LNC005555)
Source: RNAcentral